Molecule: ribosomal RNA, 691 nt
Filed under: uncultured beta proteobacterium
Lineage: Bacteria; Pseudomonadati; Pseudomonadota; Betaproteobacteria
Description: bacterial SSU rRNA
Rfam family: Bacterial small subunit ribosomal RNA
Source: RNAcentral
CAAGUCGAACGGCAGCACGGGUGCUUGCACCUGGUGGCGAGUGGCGAACGGGUGAGUAAUACAUCGGAACAUGUCCUGUAGUGGGGGAUAGCCCGGCGAAAGCCGGAUUAAUACCGCAUACGAUCUAUGGAUGAAAGCGGGGGACCUUCGGGCCUCGCGCUAUAGGGUUGGCCGAUGGCUGAUUAGCUAGUUGGUGGGGUAAAGGCCUACCAAGGCGACGAUCAGUAGCUGGUCUGAGAGGACGACCAGCCACACUGGGACUGAGACACGGCCCAGACUCCUACGGGAGGCAGCAGUGGGGAAUUUUGGACAAUGGGCGAAAGCCUGAUCCAGCAAUGCCGCGUGUGUGAAGAAGGCCUUCGGGUUGUAAAGCACUUUUGUCCGGAAAGAAAUCCUUGGUUCUAAUAUAGCCGGGGGAUGACGGUACCGGAAGAAUAAGCACCGGCUAACUACGUGCCAGCAGCCGCGGUAAUACGUAGGGUGCGAGCGUUAAUCGGAAUUACUGGGCGUAAAGCGUGCGCAGGCGGUUUGCUAAGACCGAUGUGAAAUCCCCGGGCUCAACCUGGGAACUGCAUUGGUGACUGGCAGGCUAGAGUAUGGCAGAGGGGGGUAGAAUUCCACGUGUAGCAGUGAAAUGCGUAGAGAUGUGGAGGAAUACCGAUGGCGAANGGCGCCCCCUGGGCCAAUACUG